CCCUUAGAUGUUCUGGGCCGCACGCGCGCUACACUGAUGCAUUCAACGAGUGUACCUUGGCCGAGAGGCCUGGGCAAUCUUUUGAACGUGCAUCGUGAUAGGGAUAGAUUAUUGCAAUUAUUAAUCUUGAACGAGGAAUUCCUAGUAAACGCAGUUCAUCAAACUGCAUUGAUUACGUCCCUGCCCUUUGUACACACCGCCCGUCGCUCCUACCGAUUGGGUGUGCUGGUGAAAUGUUCGGAUCGGCCGUUUGUCGCGGUUUCCGCGUCAUGUGGCUGAGAAGUUCAUUAAACCCUCCCACCUAGAGGAAGGAGAAGUCGUAACA
This 325-nucleotide ribosomal RNA is filed under the name uncultured eukaryote. Its description in RNAcentral is "partial 18S ribosomal RNA". It matches the Rfam family "Eukaryotic small subunit ribosomal RNA", at positions 1470 to 1796 of the family's 1831-position model. The record is from RNAcentral.